Long non-coding RNA from Antechinus flavipes (yellow-footed antechinus), 984 nucleotides. RefSeq lists it as uncharacterized. The transcript has 2 exons. Lineage: Eukaryota; Metazoa; Chordata; Mammalia; Dasyuromorphia; Dasyuridae. The record is from RefSeq and is a predicted model, not a curated record.
UCAUAUUUUUAAUUAUUAAAACUUUAUAAUAUAAAAGUAGACUAUAUAACAUAUUUAUAUAAUUUAUAAUAAUUUUGUUGUUGUUCAGUUGUUUUAAUCAUGUUUAACUCUUUGUGACUCCCAUGUGGAAUUUUCUUGGCAGAGAUACUAGAGUGGCUUGCUAUUUUUUUCUUCAGCUCAUUUUACGGCUGAAAAAAUAAUGAAUUUUGACUAAAUGGCUUGCCCAGGGACACUCAACUAGUAAUUAUCUGAGGCCUGAAUUUGAACUCUAGGUCUUCCUGAUUUCAGGACCACCACUCUAUUAGCUGUGUCAUCUAGCUGUCCUAAUAGACAAUAAAUAAACAAUGAAAUAAACAAAUAAAUAAACCCUUACCUUGCAGAAUUGUUUAUGAGGCUCAAAUAUGACAAGUAUUUUGCAAUGUUUAAAACACUAUGUAAAUUUCAGUUAUUGUUAUGGCAAUCAUUUUUCCUCUUCUUUCUUCUCUCUCUCCUUUUUCUUCUCCCCUCUCCCCAUUUCACAGAUGAGAAAACUGAGGUACACAAAUGCUUUCUUUGUGGUCAGAAAGCUGGUUUGGAUCGGAUUAAGAACUGGAACCCAGGACUCUCAACCCUCAGGCCAAUACUGAUUCUACAACAUACUAUAUUGCUUUCGGUAACAACAUAUCAACUCACAUUUCUACAGCUUUUUAUAGUUUAUAAACACUUUCCCUACAAAUAGUCCUGUGGGAUAGGAGAUACAAAUAUUAUAAUACCCAUUUUACAGAUGAAGAAACUGAGCACCAGAGAGAUGAAAUACCUGGAUUACAAAGGUCUUCAGGAGACAUGGUAAAUGUGGACAAGAUGUUACUUAUUUGUUUGCUGGUCCCUAAAGAUCAGAAAGAAUAUAAGUUCUUUUCAUGGGACAAAUUCAUAGUACUUAAAAUCCUGUUCAUCUAUUUUAAAAUACUGUGAUGUUAGAUAAUAUAUUUGUUUAAUUUAAUCAAA